Molecule: ribosomal RNA, 397 nt
Filed under: uncultured bacterium
Lineage: Bacteria
Description: partial 16S ribosomal RNA
Rfam family: Bacterial small subunit ribosomal RNA
Source: RNAcentral
CCUACGGGUGGCAGCAGUGAGGAAUAUUGGUCAAUGGGAGAGAGUCUGAACCAGCCAAGCAGCGUGAGGGAAGACGGCCCUAUGGGUUGUAAACCUCUUUUGUCAGGGAAUAAAACCAGGGACGUGUGCCGGUCUGCGUGUACUUGAAGAAUAAGGAUCGGCUAACUCCGUGCCAGUAGCCGCGGUAAUACGGAGGAUGCGAGCGUUAUCCGGAUUUAUUGGGUUUAAAGGGUGCGUAGGUGGGUUGUUAAGUCAGUGGGGAAAGUUUGCGGCUCAACCGUCAAACUGCAAUUGAGACUGGCAGUCUUGAGUACAGUAGAGGUAGGCGGAAUUCGUGGUGUAGCGGUGAAAUGCAUAGAUAUCACGAAGAACUCCGAUUGCGAAGGCAGCUUACCAA